GGCAAAGCUCACCCAGGAUUUUCUAGUAGGCAUGGUAGCAUGGCUUGGGGCAUCUAGCUCACCCAGAGCUUUCUAGCAAAUGUGGCGGCUUGGCUUGGGAUGCAUAGCUCAUCUAGGGUUUUCUUGGUUCAGUCCUUUGAUCUCAUCUAGGUGGAAGAUGGCUUGUCAUAUGUUCUAUUCCUCUGAUCAGUCGAGUUGAGGCUUC
Molecule: long non-coding RNA, 205 nt
Filed under: Elaeis guineensis (African oil palm)
Lineage: Eukaryota; Viridiplantae; Streptophyta; Magnoliopsida; Arecales; Arecaceae
Description: long non-coding RNA (EGUI_LNC008910)
Source: RNAcentral